This 407-nucleotide ribosomal RNA is filed under the name uncultured bacterium. Its description in RNAcentral is "partial 16S ribosomal RNA". It matches the Rfam family "Bacterial small subunit ribosomal RNA", at positions 30 to 526 of the family's 1533-position model. The record is from RNAcentral.
AUUGAACGCUAGCGGCAUGCCUUACACAUGCAAGUCGAACGGAGCGGCGAACGGGUGAGUAAUGCCUCGGAAUCUGCCUAGUAGUGGGGGAUAACUACGCGAAAGGGUAGCUAAUACCGCAUACUAUCAGAUGAGCCUAUAUCGGAUUAGCUAGUUGGUGGGGUAAAGGCCUACCAAGGCGACGAUCCGUAGCUGGUCUGAGAGGACGACCAGUCACACUGGAACUGAGACACGGUCCAGACUCCUACGGGAGGCAGCAGUGGGGAAUAUUGGACAAUGGGCGAAAGCCUGAUGCAGCCAUGCCGCGUGUGUGAAGAAGGCCUUCGGAUUGUAAAGUACUUUAAGCGAGGAGGCGUUACUAACAGAAGAAGCACCGGCUAACUCCGUGCCAGCAGCCGCGGUAAUUC